AGAGUUUGAUCAUGGCUCAGGAUGAACGCUGGCGGCGUGCUUAACACAUGCAAGUCGAACGAACCUUCGGGUUAGUGGCGGACGGGUGAGUAACGCGUGAGAAUCUGCCCUCAGGAGGGGGAUAACGGUUGGAAACGACCGCUAAUACCCCAUAUGCCGAAAGGUGAAAUGAAUUUCGCCUGAGGAUGAGCUCGCGUCUGAUUAGCUAGUUGGUGAGGUAAUGGCUCACCAAGGCUUCGAUCAGUAGCUGGUCUGAGAGGAUGAUCAGCCACACUGGGACUGAGACACGGCCCAGACUCCUACGGGAGGCAGCAGUGGGGAAUUUUCCGCAAUGGGCGAAAGCCUGACGGAGCAACGCCGCGUGAGGGACGAAGGCCUCUGGGCUGUAAACCUCUUUUCUCAAGGAAGAAGAUAUGACGGUACUUGAGGAAUAAGCCACGGCUAAUUCCGUGCCAGCAGCCGCGGUAAUACGGGAGUGGCAAGCGUUAUCCGGAAUUAUUGGGCGUAAAGCGUCCGCAGGCGGCUUAUCAAGUCUGCUGUUAAAGAGUGGAGCUUAACUCCAUCAUGGCAGUGGAAACUGAUAGGCUUGAGUAUGGUAGGGGCAGAGGGAAUUCCCGGUGUAGCGGUGAAAUGCGUAGAUAUCGGGAAGAACACCAGUGGCGAAGGCGCUCUGCUGGGCCAUUACUGACGCUCAUGGACGAAAGCCAGGGGAGCGAAAGGGAUUAGAUACCCCUGUAGUCCUGGCCGUAAACGAUGAACACUAGGUGUCGGGGGAAUCGACCCCUUCGGUGUCGUAGCUAACGCGUUAAGUGUUCCGCCUGGGGAGUACGCACGCAAGUGUGAAACUCAAAGGAAUUGACGGGGGCCCGCACAAGCGGUGGAGUAUGUGGUUUAAUUCGAUGCAACGCGAAGAACCUUACCAGGGUUUGACAUCCUGCGAACCUCUUAGAAAUUUGAGGGUGCCUUCGGGAAUGCAGUGACAGGUGGUGCAUGGCUGUCGUCAGCUCGUGUCGUGAGAUGUUGGGUUAAGUCCCGCAACGAGCGCAACCCACGUUUUUAGUUGCCAGCAUUAAGUUGGGCACUCUAGAAAGACCGCCGGUGAUAAACCGGAGGAAGGUGUGGAUGACGUCAAGUCAUCAUGCCCCUUACACCCUGGGCUACACACGUACUACAAUGCUACGGACAAAGGGCAGCAAACUCGCGAGAGCUAGCAAAUCCCAUAAACCGUGGCUCAGUUCAGAUCGUAGGCUGCAACUCGCCUACGUGAAGUAGGAAUCGCUAGUAAUCGCAGGUCAGCAUACUGCGGUGAAUACGUUCCCGGGCCUUGUACACACCGCCCGUCACACCAUGGAAGUUGGCCAUGCCCGAAGUCGUUACUCCAACCCUUGUGGAGGAGGACGCCGAAGGUGGGGCUAAUGACUGGGGUGAAGUCGUAACAAGGUAACCGUA
Molecule: ribosomal RNA, 1449 nt
Filed under: uncultured bacterium
Lineage: Bacteria
Description: bacterial SSU rRNA
Rfam family: Bacterial small subunit ribosomal RNA
Source: RNAcentral